Molecule: ribosomal RNA, 1723 nt
Filed under: Ophropyx sp. NLG-2014
Lineage: Eukaryota; Metazoa; Arthropoda; Insecta; Coleoptera; Scarabaeidae
Description: partial 16S ribosomal RNA
Source: RNAcentral
UAAACUAGGAUUAGAUACCCUAUUAUUGAAAAUGUAAAUUUAUUUAAUAUUAGAUUAUUAUUAGUUAUGUGCUUGAAAUUUAAAGAAUUUGGCGGUAUUUUAGUCUUUUCAGAGGAACCUGUUCUAUAAUUGAUAUUCCACGAUUAAUUUUACUUAUUUUAUAGGUUUAUAUAUCGUCGUUAUUUGAAUAUUUUAUAAGAAUUUUAAUAUUCAGGAUUUAUAAUAAUAAUAAAAAAAAUCAGAUCAAGGUGUAGCGAAUAAAUAAGGAGAAAUGGGUUACAAUAAAUGUAUUUAAAUGGUUAAGAUAAUUAACAUUAUUUUAUAAAGUGGAUUUGAAUGUAAUAUGAUUUAGUUAAUUUAUAUGAAUAUAGCUCUAAAAUAUGCACAUAUCGCCCGUCGCUCCCAUUUUAAGGUGGGAUAAGUCGUAACAAAGUAGGCGUACUGGAAAGUGUGCCUAGAUUGAUCAAAUUAGAGCUUGUUAUAAAGUAUUUUAUUUACAUUAAAAAGUUAGUUGUGUGAAUCAAUUUAAUUUGAUAUUGAAAAAUUUAUUUAUUUUUAUGAAAAAAAAAUAGUUUUUUUAUUAAGUAUUUUUUAGAAUAGUAAGUUUAAAUUAUAUAUUAUAAGUAUAGUGAUAGAUUAUUGAAAUAUAAUAUUUAUUUUAAUAAAAGAAUAAUUAAGUUUUUGUACCUUGUGUAUCAGGGUUUAUUAAAAAUAUUUUAUAUAAUUAAUAUUCUCGAAUUUUUAAGAGUUAAUAAUUUAUAUAUUUAAUUGUGAUAUAAAUUUUUAUAAUAAAUUAUUAGAAAUGAAACGUUAGUCGUUUAAAAAGAUAUCUAGUUAUUUAAGAAAUAAAUUUAAUUUAUUUAUUUAAAUAUAUAGUUUUAAUUUUUUAAUAUUAUAUUUUAAAUAUAAAAUAUUUUAAGGGAUAAGCUUUAAAGUAAAUUUAUUAGAAAUUAUUUGAUAUAAAAAAUAAAUAGAAUUAGAAAUUUUAAUUUUUUAGUUUGUUAUAAUUAAUUUUUUUUAUUAUAUGAUUUAUAUUAAUUUUAAUUUUUUUAUUAAAUUGAUUUAUUAAGUUAAAUUUUAUAUGUAAUAAUGAUAAAAUUAGUAUAAUUUAUUUUAUAGAUAAAUUAGUUUAUUUAGGUUAAAUUAAGGAAUUCGGCAAAAUAAUUUUUCGCCUGUUUAUUAAAAACAUGUCUUUUUGAUUAUAAUUUAAAGUCUGACCUGCCCACUGAGGAUUUAAAUGGCCGCGGUAUUUUGACCGUGCAAAGGUAGCAUAAUAAUUAGUUUUUUAAUUGAAAGCUGGAAUGAAUGGUUGGACGAGAAAAUAGCUGUCUUAGUUUUAUUUUAUUAGAAUUUUAUUUUUAAGUUAAAAAGCUUAAAUAAUUUUAAAAGACGAGAAGACCCUAUAGAGUUUAAUAUUAAUUAAUAUUAUUAUUAUAUAGAAAUUUUAUUUAAUAAUAAUAGUUAGUAUUUUGUUGGGGUGACAGAAAAAUUUGAUUAACUUUUUUUAAAAUAUAAUCAUUAAUUUAUGUUUGAUUGAUCCAUUAUUUAUGAUUAAAAGAUUAAAUUACCUUAGGGAUAACAGCGUAAUUAUUUUUUAGAGUUCUUAUCGAAAAAAUAGUUUGCGACCUCGAUGUUGGAUUAAAAUUAACUUUUGGUGCAGAAGCUAUAGGGUUAGGUCUGUUCGACCUUUAAAAUUUUACAUGAUCUGAGUUCAAACCGGAGA